GGGUACUCNAGUGGCGAACGGGUGAGUAACACGUGGGUGAUCUGCCCUGCACUUUGGGAUAAGCCUGGGAAACUGGGUCUAAUACCGAAUAGGACCACGCGCUUCAUGGUGUGUGGUGGAAAGCUUUUGCGGUGUGGGAUGGGCCCGCGGCCUAUCAGCUUGUUGGUGGGGUAAUGGCCUACCAAGGCGACGACGGGUAGCCGGCCUGAGAGGGUGACCGGCCACACUGGGACUGAGAUACGGCCCAGACUCCUACGGGAGGCAGCAGUGGGGAAUAUUGCACAAUGGGCGCAAGCCUGAUGCAGCGACGCCGCGUGAGGGAUGACGGCCUUUCGGGUUGUAAACCUCUUUCAAUAGGGACGAAGCGUGAGUGACGGUACCUAUAGAAGAAGCACCGGCCAACUACGUGCCAGCAGCCGCGGUAAUACGUAGGGUGCGAGCGUUGUCCGGAAUUACUGGGCGUAAAGAGCUCGUAGGUGGUUUGUCGCGUUGUUCGUGAAAACUCACAGCUUAACUGUGGGCGUGCGGGCGAUACGGGCAGACUAGAGUACUGCAGGGGAGACUGGAAUUCCUGGUGUAGCGGUGGAAUGCGCAGAUAUCAGGAGGAACACCGGUGGCGAAGGCGGGUCUCUGGGCAGUAACUGACGCUGAGGAGCGAAAGCGUGGGGAGCGAACAGGAUUAGAUACCCUGGUAGUCCACGCUGUAAACGGUGGGUACUAGGUGUGGGUUCCUUCCUUGGGAUCCGUGCCGUAGCUAACGCAUUAAGUACCCCGCCUGGGGAGUACGGCCGCAAGGCUAAAACUCAAAGGAAUUGACGGGGGCCCGCACAAGCGGCGGAGCAUGUGGAUUAAUUCGAUGCAACGCGAAGAACCUUACCUGGGUUUGACAUGCACAGGACGCCGGCAGAGAUGUCGGUUCCCUUGUGGCCUGUGUGCAGGUGGUGCAUGGCUGUCGUCAGCUCGUGUCGUGAGAUGUUGGGUUAAGUCCCGCAACGAGCGCAACCCUUGUCCUAUGUUGCCAGCGGGUUAUGCCGGGGACUCGUAGGAGACUGCCGGGGUCAACUCGGAGGAAGGUGGGGAUGACGUCAAGUCAUCAUGCCCCUUAUGUCCAGGGCUUCACACAUGCUACAAUGGCCGGUACAAAGGGCUGCGAUGCCGUAAGGUGGAGCGAAUCCUUUCAAAGCCGGUCUCAGUUCGGAUCGGGGUCUGCAACUCGACCCCGUGAAGCCGGAGUCGCUAGUAAUCGCAGAUCAGCAACGCUGCGGUGAAUACGUUCCCGGGCCUUGUACACACCGCCCGUCACGUCAUGAAAGUCGGUAAC
This 1321-nucleotide ribosomal RNA is filed under the name Mycobacterium sp. DWMJ-1194B1. Its description in RNAcentral is "bacterial SSU rRNA". It matches the Rfam family "Bacterial small subunit ribosomal RNA", at positions 85 to 1418 of the family's 1533-position model. Lineage: Bacteria; Bacillati; Actinomycetota; Actinomycetes; Mycobacteriales; Mycobacteriaceae. The record is from RNAcentral.